Molecule: ribosomal RNA, 154 nt
Filed under: Senecio dregeanus
Lineage: Eukaryota; Viridiplantae; Streptophyta; Magnoliopsida; Asterales; Asteraceae
Description: partial 5.8S ribosomal RNA
Rfam family: 5.8S ribosomal RNA
About the family: 5.8S ribosomal RNA (5.8S rRNA) is a component of the large subunit of the eukaryotic ribosome.
Source: RNAcentral
UCGGCAACGGAUAUCUCGGCUCACGCAUCGAUGAAGAACGUAGCAAAAUGCGAUACUUGGUGUGAAUUGCAGAAUCCCGUGAACCAUCGAGUUUUUGAACGCAAGUUGCGCCCGAAGCCUUUUGGCUGAGGGCACGUCUGCCUGGGCGUCACAC